Long non-coding RNA from Mus musculus (house mouse), 286 nucleotides. RefSeq annotates it as predicted gene, 31063. The transcript has 3 exons. The record is from RefSeq and is a predicted model, not a curated record. Lineage: Eukaryota; Metazoa; Chordata; Mammalia; Rodentia; Muridae.
GAGAAGACAAAGGUUGGAAUUGCUGUGUGUUCCCCACUGGCUGGCAAUGGCUGGCUGCAAUCAUCGUAUUACAACUAACACAUGGGGUCAGGAGAUACAACUUGGAGAUAUACUCCAAUUGGCCAGUAAUUUUCCCAUUUGUCGGCCAGAAUGAAGCACAAUCAAUCAGACAUGGUGUCUCUAAGCUGCCCAGGACGGACUUGAAUUCACUCUCUGGACGAUAUAACCCUUUAAUUUGCUACCCUCCUGCUUCAGUCUCUCAAAUAGCUGGAUUUACAGGACUGUG